Molecule: ribosomal RNA, 454 nt
Filed under: uncultured bacterium
Lineage: Bacteria
Description: bacterial SSU rRNA
Rfam family: Bacterial small subunit ribosomal RNA
Source: RNAcentral
GCACAAGCGGUGGAGCAUGUGGUUUAAUUCGACGCAACGCGCAGAACCUUACCAGGGUUUGACAUCCUGUGCUCGCCGGUGAAAGCCGGUUUUCCCGCAAGGGACGCAGAGACAGGUGCUGCAUGGCUGUCGUCAGCUCGUGUCGUGAGAUGUUGGGUUAAGUCCCGCAACGAGCGCAACCCUCGCCUUUAGUUGCCAUCAUUCAGUUGGGCACUCUAGAGGGACCGCCGGCGACAAGCCGGAGGAAGGUGGGGAUGACGUCAAGUCCUCAUGGCCCUUACACCCUGGGCUACACACGUGCUACAAUGGCGGUGACAGUGGGCAGCUACUUCGCGAGGAGCGGCUAAUCCCAAAAAACCGUCCCAGUUCAGAUUGCACUCUGCAACUCGAGUGCAUGAAGGUGGAAUCGCUAGUAAUCGCAGAACAGCAGGCUGCGGUGAAUACGUUCCCGGGC